UCGCGAAUGGCUCAUUACAACAGCUAUAAUUUACUUGAUCUUGACUUCCUACUUGGAUAACUGUGGUAAUUCUAGAGCUAAUACAUGCACCAAAGCUCCGACCUUACGGGAAGAGCGCAUUUAUUAGAACAAAACCAAGCGGCUUCGGCCGUCCAAUGUUGACUCAGAAUAACUAAGCUGAUCGCAUGGUCUUGUACCGGCGACGUGUCUUUCAAGUAUCUGCCUUAUCAACUUUCGAUGGUAGUGUAUCUGACUACCAUGGUGAUGACGGGUAACGGAGGAUAAGGGUUCGACUCCGGAGAAGGGGCCUGAGAAAUGGCCACUACGUCUAAGGAUGGCAGCAGGCGCGCAAAUUACCCACUCUCAGAACGAGGAGGUAGUGACGAGAAAUAACGAGACCGUUCUCUUAAGAGGCCGGUCAUCGGAAUGGGUACAAUUUAAACCCUUUAACGAGUAUCUAUGAGAGGGCAAGUCUGGUGCCAGCAGCCGCGGUAAUUCCAGCU
This 503-nucleotide ribosomal RNA is filed under the name Sauertylenchus maximus. Its description in RNAcentral is "SSU rRNA". It matches the Rfam family "Eukaryotic small subunit ribosomal RNA", at positions 87 to 590 of the family's 1831-position model. The record is from RNAcentral. Lineage: Eukaryota; Metazoa; Nematoda; Chromadorea; Rhabditida; Telotylenchidae.